Molecule: non-coding RNA, 257 nt
Filed under: Lutispora thermophila
Lineage: Bacteria; Bacillati; Bacillota; Clostridia; Lutisporales; Lutisporaceae
Description: T-box sequence
Rfam family: T-box leader
About the family: Uncharged tRNA acts as the effector for transcription antitermination of genes in the T-box leader family. T-boxes are found upstream of many aminoacyl-tRNA synthetase genes and some amino acid biosynthetic genes usually in Gram-positive bacteria. The anticodon of a specific tRNA base pairs to a specifier sequence within the T-box motif, and the NCCA acceptor tail of the tRNA base pairs to a conserved bulge in the T-box antiterminator hairpin.
Source: RNAcentral
AGAAAGAUUAUGAUGGGAAGAGUAGAUUAGGAAGGUAGUUUAAGCGAGUCGGAGACGGUGGGAGUCCGAUACGAUAGCCUAAUUGAAGAACAUCCCGGAGUUUCUAACCGAAAUCCUGAUGGAGAGUAGACUUAGACGCAGCCAAAGCGUUAAAGUUGGGCGAUAUCGAAUAUUAUAUUGAUUGAUAUUCCGUAUCGGCAGAGUGAACCAGGUGUUAAUUUGGGUGGUACCGCGGAAGUAUUCCUUUCGUCCCUUGU